RNAcentral lists this transfer RNA (63 nucleotides) under Gammaproteobacteria bacterium. RNAcentral's name for it is "tRNA-Met". It matches the Rfam family "tRNA", at positions 6 to 65 of the family's 71-position model. From Rfam's summary of the family: Transfer RNA (tRNA) molecules are approximately 80 nucleotides in length. Their secondary structure includes four short double-helical elements and three loops (D, anti-codon, and T loops). Lineage: Bacteria; Pseudomonadati; Pseudomonadota; Gammaproteobacteria. The record is from RNAcentral.
CUUAGCUCAGUUGGUUAGAGCAGUGGACUCAUAAUCCAAUGGUCCCAGGUUCGAGUCCUGGAG